Molecule: ribosomal RNA, 253 nt
Filed under: Faecalibacterium prausnitzii
Lineage: Bacteria; Bacillati; Bacillota; Clostridia; Eubacteriales; Oscillospiraceae
Description: partial 16S ribosomal RNA
Rfam family: Bacterial small subunit ribosomal RNA
Source: RNAcentral
AACGUAGGUCACAAGCGUUGUCCGGAAUUACUGGGUGUAAAGGGAGCGCAGGCAGGAGAACAAGUUGGAAGUGAAAUCCAUGGGCUCAACCCAUGAACUGCUUUCAAAACUGUUUUUCUUGAGUAGUGCAGAGGUAGGCGGAAUUCCCGGUGUAGCGGUGGAAUGCGUAGAUAUCGGGAGGAACACCAGUGGCGAAGGCGGCCUACUGGGCACCAACUGACGCUGAGGCUCGAAAGUGUGGGUAGCAAACAGG